GACGAACGCUGGCGGCGUGCUUAACACAUGCAAGUCGAACGGAAAGGCCCUGCUUUUGUUGGGUGCUCGAGUGGCGAACGGGUGAGUAACACGUGAGUAACCUGCCCUUGUCUUUGGGAUAACUUCAGGAAACUGGGGCUAAUACCGGAUAGGAGCUCCUGCUGCAUGGUGGGGGUUGGAAAGUUUCGGCGGUGGGGGAUGGACUCGCGGCUUAUCAGCUUGUUGGUGGGGUAGUGGCUUACCAAGCCUUUGACGGGUAGCCGGCCUGAGAGGGUGACCGGCCACAUUGGGACUGAGAUACGGCCCAGACUCCUACGGGAGGCAGCAGUGGGGAAUAUUGCACAAUGGGCGGAAGCCUGAUGCAGCAACGCCGCGUGCGGGAUGACGGCCUUCGGGUUGUAAACCGCUUUCGACUGUGACGAAGAGUGAGUGACGGUAAUGGGUAAAGAAGCACCGGCUAACUACGUG
This 468-nucleotide ribosomal RNA is filed under the name uncultured bacterium. Its description in RNAcentral is "partial 16S ribosomal RNA". It matches the Rfam family "Bacterial small subunit ribosomal RNA", at positions 28 to 507 of the family's 1533-position model. The record is from RNAcentral.